RNAcentral lists this transfer RNA (73 nucleotides) under Ixodes scapularis (black-legged tick). It matches the Rfam family "tRNA". From Rfam's summary of the family: Transfer RNA (tRNA) molecules are approximately 80 nucleotides in length. Their secondary structure includes four short double-helical elements and three loops (D, anti-codon, and T loops). Further hydrogen bonds mediate the characteristic L-shaped molecular structure. tRNAs have two regions of fundamental functional importance: the anti-codon, which is responsible for specific mRNA codon recognition, and the 3' end, to which the tRNAs corresponding amino acid is attached (by aminoacyl-tRNA synthetases). tRNAs cope with the degeneracy of the genetic code in two manners: having more than one tRNA (with a specific anti-codon) for a particular amino acid; and 'wobble' base-pairing, i.e. permitting non-standard base-pairing at the 3rd anti-codon position. Lineage: Eukaryota; Metazoa; Arthropoda; Arachnida; Ixodida; Ixodidae. The record is from Rfam by way of RNAcentral.
CCCUGGUUAGCUCAGUCGAUAGAGCGCUCCACUGGAAAUGGAGAAGUCCCUGGUUCGAUACCAGGACCAGGCG